UGUGAGAAGCCCAAGUCACAUGGACAAGC
This 29-nucleotide non-coding RNA is filed under the name Homo sapiens (human). Lineage: Eukaryota; Metazoa; Chordata; Mammalia; Primates; Hominidae. The record is from RNAcentral.